This 252-nucleotide ribosomal RNA is filed under the name uncultured bacterium. RNAcentral's name for it is "partial 16S ribosomal RNA". It matches the Rfam family "Bacterial small subunit ribosomal RNA", at positions 57 to 305 of the family's 1533-position model. The record is from RNAcentral.
GCAAGUCGAGCGGAGAUUAAGAAGCUUGCUUCUUAAUCUUAGCGGCGGACGGGUGAGUAACGCGUGGGUAACCUGCCCUAUACACACGGAUAACAUAUCGAAAGAUAUGCUAAUACGAGAUAAUACAUUUUUAAGGCAUCUUAGAAAUGUCAAAGAUUUUAUCGGUGUAGGAUGGACCCGCGUCCCAUUAGCUAGUUGGUGAGGUAAAAGCUUACCAAGCCAACGAUGGGUAGCCGGCCUGAGAGGGUGAAC